Molecule: long non-coding RNA, 215 nt
Filed under: Vigna radiata
Lineage: Eukaryota; Viridiplantae; Streptophyta; Magnoliopsida; Fabales; Fabaceae
Description: long non-coding RNA (VRAD_LNC015814)
Source: RNAcentral
UGAAAGACUAUCUAGCUUAAACUGUCAAGGGAGAAUCUCCCUUCCAAACGUUUCCAAUUUGUGUGUUUAGAAGUUCUAAUGAGAAGCCUGAGUGAUGUGAGUUUUGUAAGGCUGAUUUUAGCCUAAUUUGCUUGGCCAUUUCAGAGAAAUUUAGUUCUAACUGAUUUGAGAUUGCUCACUGUGCAGGAACAUGAGUUUGAAUGAUCAGAUUGGCG